This 526-nucleotide long non-coding RNA is filed under the name Capsella rubella. RNAcentral describes it as "long non-coding RNA (CRUB_LNC000073)". Lineage: Eukaryota; Viridiplantae; Streptophyta; Magnoliopsida; Brassicales; Brassicaceae. The record is from RNAcentral.
CAAAUGGGCUAAGAACUAGGAAACAUUGCGUUGAACCACUAAAUGACUUAUCUAGUUUUGUUUGGGGUUAGAAUAUGUUAGAAUACAAUAUAUUUGAUUGAUUUCAAGUGCUAGAUAUGCAUGAAGAGUGUUUAAAAGUGUGUAGAGAGACUUGCUGAAAUUUGGUCCAAAAUGGGCUAAGAACCCACAACUAUUGCUUUGAAGCAUUAAAUGGCUUUUAUAGUGUUGUUUGGGGUUUGAAUAUGUUAGAAUACAAUGAAUUUGAUUGAUUCCAAGUGCUAGAGAUUCAUGAAGAGUGUUUAAAAGUGUGUAGAGAGACUUGCUGAAAUUUGGUCCAAAAUGGGCUAAGAACCCACAACCAUUGCUUUGAAGCAUUAAAUGGCUUUUAUAGUGUUGUUUGGGGUUAGAAUAUGUUAGAAUACAAUAAAUUUGAUUGAUUACAAUUGUUAGAGGUGCAUGAAGAGUGUUUAGAAGUGUGGAGAAAGACUUGUUGAAAUUGGGUCCUAAAUGGGCUAAAAAGUCGGAA